UGCUCAGGCAUCUUUGCCCAAGGGUUGCUGCUACCCCAAAUAGUGUGAUCCUCACCACCCUCCUUGCUCUCCUAGCCAGAUUUGGAGUCCUGGUCACAACUCUGGGUUUGUUUGCUCAAAACACAGGUUUAAAGAAGUGGAACAAGUAGACAAAAGGAGUGUCCGCUGAUCACAGCUAACACCAUGAAGACUGAACACGGCACUGUGUCCACCGUGAGGCAGGCACUGGAAGGAGCCCUUCUAGAUGUUGCAGAAGUACAAGAUCCUUAUUGCAACCUACAAGGUCCAGAAGAAGACACUAAAGCCUGGAGAAGUUAGGUAACUUGCACAGGACACACAACUAGCAAGCAGCAGAACCAGGAUUCCAGGCCAGGGCUGCCUGACCCCCGCGGCUGUGUCUUGGUCACCACACAACACAGCUUUUCACUGAUGGCAAUCCUGCUGCUAUGCUUCCUCUAUCCCACUAAUGGACUUGGGCUGCACAAAAAUUCAGUAUUUGUCAUUCUCUUUAAAACAGCUAUUUACGUUAAUGGUGUGUUUAUUCACAUAUUUCCAG
Molecule: long non-coding RNA, 556 nt
Organism: Equus caballus (horse)
Lineage: Eukaryota; Metazoa; Chordata; Mammalia; Perissodactyla; Equidae
Source: Ensembl